Teleopsis dalmanni is the source of this 2262-nucleotide long non-coding RNA. RefSeq lists it as uncharacterized. The transcript has 4 exons. NCBI's taxonomy places the organism in Eukaryota, Metazoa, Arthropoda, Insecta, Diptera, Diopsidae. The record is from RefSeq and is a predicted model, not a curated record.
AUUCAAAAUUGUAUUCCGUUAAAAACUUUUCGAACUUUUUUUCGAUACGAUUCGCCAAAUUAUUAAAAAAUUUGAAAAAAAUUAUACCAUUUUAAUAGUUAUAGUAUUUAACACUGACAAUGGCGAGUAGUAAAAUCUGGAAAACGGUUAUUGGAGCAUUUGUGAAAAAAGCAGUAUCACCAGCUAAUAAGGGAAAAGCAACAGAAACUCAAUCGCAGGAAGCAAAAUCUCAAAUGUCGAUUACGAAACUUAAUGCUUUAAGAAAUAAAAACGAGGCUGCACAAACCACCCAAGCAGAAGCACAACGUCUCGAUGAUGUGUACUUUCAGAAUAUAAAUGUGUCAAAGAAAACAGCUGGUCAAACAGUUGCAGAGUACACCGAAGCCGAACGUUUAAAGCAUGAGUCAACAGAUAGUAAUUACUCUUCAAACAAAAUGCCGAAUUAUUCUAAACCACAAUCCACUACUAAGUAUAGAGGUUCCAGACGAAGGAGUAUAUCCGUAAAAUAUUCAGCCAAUAUGAAUGCUCCUUUUACGCCUGGACCUCGUAAACGUUGUUCCAUAUGUGAAGAUAGAGCUCCUAAGAAACCAAAUGUAAAAAUUGAAACCAAAGAUGAAGAUGAAAACUAGAAAAAUAGUCCUGGUUUUCCUCUAAAAAGGAAGACACAAACACAUACAAUUCAACAUGCAGCGAUGAGACACUAAACUGGUUUCUCUGGAGUGUUCCACAUAUUUUAAAAAUGGGCUCUUUUUAAAUCCUCUCGAAUACAUAAAACUUGUUAUUCAUUUGAAGGGCUAUCAUGAACUCUAAUUGGUUGAGUGACAGUGGAGCAAAGUUAUGAAUUUUCUAAGGAUUUUUGAAUAUGAAUACCAACAAACAUAUCAAUCCAUCUUGGAGAGUAACGAAGCCCUUCGAAUACCGCAAACAGUAAUGGGCCAAAAAUUCAACCAAUGCAUGACGGUAAUUGAAUAUAAUAAGUGCAAACUCUUCCAGUUUUGGAUCUUAUUGUAGAGGGAACAUUCACAAACAAAAUGGAGCCAGAAUUCAAAAUCAGAGACAGAAUUCGGUAAAUCAGAGAGAACCCUUCCCUUACAGGAUCCAUACCUCAUCAGAAAGUAGCUAGAAAAUAGCCUUGCAUAUUUUAAUGAAACCAACAUCCAGGACAUAUUUGUAUGUUACCCAUUCAUUCCGUCUAGUCAUCUAUAAAUGCAUGCUCCUUAAGACAUCUGGAGUGCAUCCGAUGAGAAAUUUCUAUAUCUAAUUACAUCAACGUACAGGACAAAUUCGUGUGUUGCUCUGAAGUUUCUGAUGCAUUCCAUCAAGCCUUCCAUAUAGACAUCAUGCGUUCAUUUGGUAGUAAUCUGCAGUCACCUCUACUAAGCAUUCCGUAUGUCAUGAACAAUUAUCGUGUGUCGACCUAACCUCAAAUCAAGGUUUCGUGCUUCCUUAAAUAUUAAGAAUGCACCCAACGAAGGAUUUCUAAUGAAAUCAACGUCCAGCACGAAUUCAUGUGAUACCCAACGAAUUUCUUUUUGUUUUUCAGCUAGCUAGUGGUUUUUCAAUCACUAUCUAAUAUUGAUCCGGCCACACUUAUAUUCCUUAUAUCAUGUUUAGUUAUAUAAUUUAUCCGAAACAGUGGCUUACUUCUGUUGACUUGUGUGAUAUCGCUUUUCUUCAAAUCGAGGCUUUUUUUUCCUUAAACGCUUUAAGUGCAUCCGAUAAUAUAUUUCUGUAAACUGCCAAUUAUGUAAGCAGUAUCACAGCAUUAAGCAGCAAUAUGGAUACAAUUAUAGACUUAACUAUUUCGUAUAUUAAUGCAAUCGUCCCAUAAGCUAAAGAAACAACAAACACAUCACUGUAUAUACUCAAUAUAUUACAACUACUCAGUCCCCAAUCACUCCGUAACAACAGUCGAAGCGAAGUUAAAAUGGUUGAAUGGCACCAUAGUAACAUCAAGUGCUGAAUAAAACACAUACUUUCUUCCAUGUUCAGACUCAGAAUUCGGUUAUAGAUCUGAGUAUUGUACCAACGAUUCAAUACUAGAGUGUGUAUUAUACGAUAAGUAUCCGUUUUGAUAUCAUUUUAAAACAUCAACAGCAACAUUUCAAGAAACAUCAACACCACAGCUGCAAACCAUAUCCAUCAGCUUUAAACCUUUUCGUUGAAGCUUCAAUCGUAAUCAACCUUCAACCAGAUAGAUAACUUAUUCGCAUUAAGACAACAAUUAACAGGUUCCAAUAACAGAUUAAAUUAACACGUCGC